RNAcentral lists this long non-coding RNA (547 nucleotides) under Strongylocentrotus purpuratus (purple sea urchin). RNAcentral's name for it is "uncharacterized LOC115928248". Lineage: Eukaryota; Metazoa; Echinodermata; Echinoidea; Camarodonta; Strongylocentrotidae. The record is from RNAcentral.
AUAAUCCGCUAUUCUGCAGUGAUUUUCUUUCACUCCAGUAUCGUUUGUACGUUGCAGCAUCAUCAAACACUAUAUGGCCGAUGAAUCAGAAGAUGACGUAGAUGCUACGAGAGAGCUCAUUUCACAAUGGACAACAGAAGUGAUACGUGACUUUCUACAAGGAGGGGACUCAAGCUUGGAGAAGUCAUUAUUUUUUGGGUGUUCUCUGCCCUGACGCUGGGGGUACUGUUCAGCCAUUCGAGGUAGAGAGGUAGAGAGGAACUGGACGAUGGAUGGAUGGGGAGGGGGGGGGGAAGAAAGGCAUGUAGAGAUGGCCGUCUACUAUGUAUAGAGACAUUUGUGUGCUACUGGAUAAGGACCCUCCAUCACUAGAGGGAAGAAUAAUGAGAAACUACAAAGAGGGGAAGGCAUUUAGUUAUUUUGUCAGUUUCUGGUUAGGGAGACAUUUGUUUCAUCUCCUGGGAGAAAGCUGUCUGAAAUUCAAAAUGUAUUUGAUACUUGAAUAAAUUUAGUUCAUUUUCUAGACUGGUUCAUGUCAAACCAUUGA